Molecule: long non-coding RNA, 290 nt
Filed under: Octodon degus (degu)
Lineage: Eukaryota; Metazoa; Chordata; Mammalia; Rodentia; Octodontidae
Description: WT1 antisense RNA conserved region 7 (ENSODEG00000025322.1)
Rfam family: WT1 antisense RNA conserved region 7
Source: RNAcentral
ACUCUGUCCCCAAGUGCCCAGAGUCCCCACUGAAAGGAUUCCACAGAGCUGCCUCUAUUAGUGUACCGUAAAUCUUUUUAAAUUCUGGAACUAAUUAUAUAGAGGAUAUGUCUCAAUUUGUUCUGCAUUAAUGCCGCGGUGGGGAUGGAGGCCAGGCCGUGGCUGUUCGGAUACGUGGGCCCGUGAAAUUGAUGAACUGAGAGCUGCUUCCAGUCCUGUGCACACCAUCUGGAAUUCCAGUCUGAGGUUACGAUUAGAACUUCUGACCCCAGAUUCAACUUUGAAACAAG